This 460-nucleotide ribosomal RNA is filed under the name uncultured bacterium. RNAcentral describes it as "partial 16S ribosomal RNA". It matches the Rfam family "Bacterial small subunit ribosomal RNA", at positions 338 to 795 of the family's 1533-position model. The record is from RNAcentral.
CCUACGGGUGGCAGCAGUGAGGAAUAUUGGUCAAUGGACGAGAGUCUGAACCAGCCAAGUAGCGUGAAGGAUGACUGCCCUAUGGGUUGUAAACUUCUUUUAUAUGGGAAUAAAACGUUCCACGUGUGGGAUUUUGUAUGUACCAUAUGAAUAAGGAUCGGCUAACUCCGUGCCAGCAGCCGCGGUAAUACGGAGGAUCCGAGCGUUAUCCGGAUUUAUUGGGUUUAAAGGGAGCGUAGGUGGAUUGUUAAGUCAGUUGUGAAAGUUUGCGGCUCAACCGUAAAAUUGCAGUUGAAACUGGCAGUCUUGAGUACAGUAGAGGUGGGCGGAAUUCGUGGUGUAGCGGUGAAAUGCUUAGAUAUCACGAACAACUCCGAUUGCGAAGGCAGUUCACUGGACUGCAACUGACACUGAGGCUCGAAAGUGUGGGUAUCAAACAGGAUUAGAUACCCCAGUAGUC